CUGCUUUUCAUUCUGCAUAUUUUUUAGGAUUAAAUUGGCAAUUCCGGAAACUUCCUGGAAAGGGUUCAUUAUUAACCUAGAAUCCAAGGGUGGGUCCACAGACAAAGAGGGGGAUGUGUUUCCUGCAUUUAUCCAUUCCUCCAUUUGACCAUCAGCUUUCACAUUGAGAGCAUGGCUCGGGGCAUCCUUACCUGGCAGCCUCCUCUUGGCCUGCUUUACUCACCACUCUGCUCACUCGCUCUGUCCACAUUGGGUGUCCUCCUCCUGAUACAUCAAGCUUGUUCCCACCGUUGGGUUUAUAGACAAAUUUUCAAUAGAAAAUUCCUGUUUGUUUAUUGUUUUUAUCCAGCACCUUCCAAAAAGGGAAAGAAGCGGAAGGCACAAAGGGAAGAGGAACAGGAACAUUCAAAUAAAGCUCCCAGGGUGCUUACAUCAAAAGAACGGAGGCGAGCAGUACGACAGCAACGGCCGAAAAAAGUUGGUGUGCGCUACUAUGAAACACACAACGUGAAAAAUAGGAACAGGAACAAAAAGAAGACCAAUGACGCAGAGGGACAGAAACACAAACGCAAAAAAUUCCGACAAAAGCAGUAAUGUUUAAAAGGUUUUUAUUAAAUUAUACAAAAACAUGCA
Molecule: small RNA, 633 nt
Filed under: Pongo abelii (Sumatran orangutan)
Lineage: Eukaryota; Metazoa; Chordata; Mammalia; Primates; Hominidae
Description: processed transcript
Source: RNAcentral